This is a long non-coding RNA of Scaptodrosophila lebanonensis, 461 nucleotides long. RefSeq lists it as uncharacterized. NCBI's taxonomy places the organism in Eukaryota, Metazoa, Arthropoda, Insecta, Diptera, Drosophilidae. The transcript has 2 exons. The record is from RefSeq and is a predicted model, not a curated record.
UAGUUAUCGAAAGCAAUGAAAAACAUUGUUGCACUAUUUAAUCUAUUUUUACUGCUUGGGUUAACGUUGAGCUUAAAAGACCCAAUUUGUGGACUGCCCCCAAUGAUUAAUGGCCCAGGUAAGCCCGCUUGUAAGGGCAACUUUCCCAGCUAUUCAUAUAUAUUAGAGAUCCAUGAAUGCCUUUAUUGGAUAUAUGGAGGCUGUGGAGGUAACGCUAAUCGCUUUGACUCGGAGGAUGCGUGCCUAAAAAAGUGCGACGAAAGUUAAUUAAUUUAAAAAAAAACACUCAGCCUUUUUCGCUAUAAACAGAAUUUCUUCAGCUAUAGUUGGUUACAUUCUGAAUUACUUAUUCUUUCACCAAACCGAUUACUACGAUAAGUUGUACGGUGUAUUUCAUUAGCCUGGCAUGAAAAUGUAAUGUUUCGCUUUAAUAUAAAUAAACGUAAAAUUUAGAUUUAAAA